Molecule: ribosomal RNA, 495 nt
Filed under: uncultured bacterium
Lineage: Bacteria
Description: partial 16S ribosomal RNA
Rfam family: Bacterial small subunit ribosomal RNA
Source: RNAcentral
GACGAACGCUGGCGGCGUGCCUAAUACAUGCAAGUAGAACGCUGAAGGAGGAGCUUGCUUCUCUGGAUGAGUUGCGAACGGGUGAGUAACGCGUAGGUAACCUGCCUGGUAGCGGGGGAUAACUAUUGGAAACGAUAGCUAAUACCGCAUAAUAGUAGAUGUUGCAUGACAUUUGCUUAAAAGGUGCAAUUGCAUCACUACCAGAUGGACCUGCGUUGUAUUAGCUAGUUGGUGAGGUAACGGCUCACCAAGGCAACGAUACAUAGCCGACCUGAGAGGGUGAGCGGCCACACUGGGACUGAGACACGGCCCAGACUCCUACGGGAGGCAGCAGUAGGGAAUCUUCGGCAAUGGACGGAAGUCUGACCGAGCAACGCCGCGUGAGUGAAGAAGGGUUUCGGAUCGUAAAGCUCUGUUGUAAGAGAAGAACGAGUGUGAGAGUGGAAAGUUCACACUGUGACGGUAUCUUACCAGAAAGGGACGGCUAACUACGUG